GAUGAACGCUGGCGGCGUGCCUAAUACAUGCAAGUCGAACGGGAAUCUUCGGAUUCCAGUGGCGAACGGGUGAGGAAUACAUAGGUAACCUGCCCCUCCGAGGGGGACAACAGACGGAAACAUCUGCUAAGACCGCAUAGCCACAGGGAAGGCAUCUUCCCUGUGCCAAAUGUCCUUUCGGGGACAGCGGGGGGAUGGACCUAUGCCGCAUUAGCUGGUUGGCGGGGCAACGGCCCACCAAGGCGACGAUGCGUAGCCGGCCUGAGAGGGCGGACGGCCACACUGGGACUGAGACACGGCCCAGACUCCUACGGGAGGCAGCAGUAGGGAAUUUUCGGCAAUGGGGGAAACCCUGACCGAGCAACGCCGCGUGAACGAUGAAGGCCUUCGGGUCGUAAAGUUCUGUUGCGAAGGAAGAACGCCGGUGUCAGGAAAUGGGCGCCGGGUGACGGUAC
This 455-nucleotide ribosomal RNA is filed under the name bacterium AE3001. Its description in RNAcentral is "bacterial SSU rRNA". It matches the Rfam family "Bacterial small subunit ribosomal RNA", at positions 28 to 478 of the family's 1533-position model. RNAcentral also lists the same sequence under 1 other name. The record is from RNAcentral.